RNAcentral lists this ribosomal RNA (255 nucleotides) under uncultured bacterium. RNAcentral's name for it is "partial 16S ribosomal RNA". It matches the Rfam family "Bacterial small subunit ribosomal RNA", at positions 524 to 776 of the family's 1533-position model. The record is from RNAcentral.
UACGGUAGGGGGCAAGCGUUGUCCGGAAUCAUUGGGCGUAAAGAGCGUGUAGGCGGCUCGAUAAGUCUGCUGUGAAAGUCCAGGGCUCAACCCUGGAAGGCCGGUGGAAACUGUCGGGCUAGAGUCCGGAAGAGGCGAGUGGAAUUCCCGGUGUAGCGGUGAAAUGCGCAGAUAUCGGGGAGGAACACCGAUGGCGAAGGCAGGUCUCUGGGCCACUACUGACGCUGAGAAGCGAAAGCAUGGGGAGCGAACAGG